This 67-nucleotide transfer RNA is filed under the name Crypturellus tataupa. Its description in RNAcentral is "tRNA-Cys". Lineage: Eukaryota; Metazoa; Chordata; Aves; Tinamiformes; Tinamidae. The record is from RNAcentral.
GACUCUGUGGUGAAAUUCAUGUUGAGUUGCAAGCUCAAAGAUGUGUACUAGGUGUACACCAGAGUCU